This 465-nucleotide ribosomal RNA is filed under the name Vreelandella stevensii. RNAcentral's name for it is "partial 16S ribosomal RNA". It matches the Rfam family "Bacterial small subunit ribosomal RNA", at positions 338 to 795 of the family's 1533-position model. The record is from RNAcentral. Lineage: Bacteria; Pseudomonadati; Pseudomonadota; Gammaproteobacteria; Oceanospirillales; Halomonadaceae.
CCUACGGGCGGCUGCAGUGGGGAAUAUUGGACAAUGGGGGGAACCCUGAUCCAGCCAUGCCGCGUGUGUGAAGAAGGCCCUCGGGUUGUAAAGCACUUUCAGUGAGGAAGAACGCCUGGUGGUUAAUACCCAUCAGGAAAGACAUCACUCACAGAAGAAGCACCGGCUAACUCCGUGCCAGCAGCCGCGGUAAUACGGAGGGUGCGAGCGUUAAUCGGAAUUACUGGGCGUAAAGCGCGCGUAGGUGGCUUGAUAAGCCGGUUGUGAAAGCCCCGGGCUCAACCUGGGAACGGCAUCCGGAACUGUCAAGCUAGAGUGCAGGAGAGGAAGGUAGAAUUCCCGGUGGAGCGGUGAAAUGCGUAGAGAUCGGGAGGAAUACCAGUGGCGAAGGCGGCCUUCUGGACUGACACUGACACUGAGGUGCGAAAGCGUGGGUAGCAAACAGGAUUAGAUACCCGUGUAGUC